CCCUCGCCUCGUCCCGACUCCCACUCCCACUUCAGCUGCCAACAAACUCUAUCCCCUUGCCCAACGCCCCAAAUCCCCACAGCCGUCGCAUGGCCUCGACCCUCCUUCCCUCCUGCGGUCCCACCGCACCCUCUCCUUGCUCGCAACCGCCUCUAUCCCACCUAUGCCCGAGUUCUGCCUUCCUCGCCCGCCUCCUCCUCCUUGCCAUCGGCGAAAGCGGUGAGCAUAGGGGCAGCGGAAAUGGCUGGAUGCGAUGAGCUUGCCUCCGACGGUGCCAGGAACCUCCACGCAAGGGCGACCCCAUGGAUCCGUCCCUAUAGGAGAGAGAAGAUGUGGAGGGAGGGUUGAAGGAUAGGGGAAGGUAGGCGUGCUAGGGCGGGGUGGUCUCGCCGGCGAUGACAGGGUCGGCUGACCGGAGUUGGAUCGAUAUCCCGGCUGGCACGGCUCGGCUCCAACUCCCUCUUCCACCUCUCCGCUCCCCGACACUCAAAUCUGGCUCUUCUGCACACAUCAGUAGCUACGGAAAGAAAUCUUGUAGUGGAGUGGGUUCAUUUGUAUGAUCUUGGAAGAUGACCUCUGAAUCCCAUUAGAAAGCAUGGCAGCGGAUUAAGGUUAGCGCAUUUCGAGAAGCCAACAGAUAGCCGCCUACUUCCUUAGGCUGACAAUCACCUGCAGGAUAAAGUGCAAUGUUUUGCUGAGGGGUUGGAGCAGGACCGUAGGAGGAGACAAGAUCAAGGAUUGGGCCAACAUGGUCGUCACGCACGAACCAGUGUAGCCCAUUGGCACUGGUAAAGUUGUAUCGGCUGCUCAGGCACAUGAAGUAAGUUCCUCCAUUUAGGUGUAUUGGUGUUUCUGAACUAGCAGGCACAAUUCAUCUCGUGACCGCUGGCCGUUGUCUUCCCUUCUACUAAAAUUUGUGACCAAGUGAUUAACCUGAAACUGAAGCUUGGUCUUUCUCCAGAUUUACCAUGGUGUAAUUUUAUGCUACAGUCAAGCCUUGGAUAGAAAAUAAACAUGUUAUGAAGAUGAUAUAUCAAUUUUAGAAAUACAUAUUGAAGGACUAUAGCAGUGUUUCUUUUUACUGAAUUUCGUUUUGUUUUUUCAUCUUAUUGCUCAUUUUGUUGAAAUGUUUAUUCAAAUGUGCCUAAUGUUUCUUUGUUUUUCUAGGUUUCUCAAAACUAACAAAUGCUGAUCUUUGAUAAAUUAGGAGGCUGAAGAUGCUAGCUUAUUGAACUCUCAAUUUGGAAUUUUUUUGGAGAUGUGUAGUGUUGAUAAAGAAAUGUAGGUAUGUAUGAGUAUGUUGUUUGCAUCUUGUGACGCUCACAUGCUCGUGCAACUGCUACCUAGAUUUGCCGCCACCGCCUCGAGAAGCUUCUGCCUGUAAAUCUAGUUGCCACCAUGGUAAUUUAUUUUCAGUCCCAACUCUCUUCCUGUCCCCCGCACUUGCUUGCUACAGGUUCUUGUGGUGUGCGUGCUUGUUGGCUUAGUGACGUGUGUGUUCAGGCACAUGUUGUCUUUGCCUGCCAGGGUGUUGGCGCUGCUACUUGGCCGGUUACAACGAGUAGGACGCUGUUAGGGUGGUAUUUCUCCCUGGUCAGCCAAGGAGUUCGCACAUCUCUCGGUUCUCUGGGCAUGUCACCAUGAACAAGCAGAGUGGGGGGACGCGCUUCUACUUGUUCUUAGAGGCUUAGGCACAACCUCUCCUUCUUUAGCUCAAUUGGGAUUUCUUACUUACCUCAUUCUCUUGUUUUACAUUUUUUCACUUGGUCACUUAUUUCUGGAAAGAUUUUAUAGUUAUUAUCUUGAGCUGCGUGUAGUUCAAUAAUGUUUCGGUUGCUACUUGGUGGGUACCUGAAGGAGAAUAAACAUUAUUGUUCGGUUGCUACAUUGGCUCUUUUUCUAGAAUAUGCCUUAAUUUAUGGGAAAAUGCAGUCUUCAUUUACUGAGUUAUAAUUUUUGUCUUGCUCUCUUCCAGGUCCCUCAUAUAGUGGUUCAGAAAAAAAACCUAUCCAAUGGAGAUGAUGCAUGAGGAGUGGCAAAGUCAUGAUCCAUGAAGCCCUAUGUUAUUCUUUUUCUCACCGUGAUUUUGCUUUUUUAUGGUUGGAUGCCAAGUAACCAAGCAGACGCUUUUUCGUAGAUUAGUUGCUUAGUUUCAUAAGUUGAAUUGCGUUGUCGAGUGCAGUGUGUAGGCACUUUCUCGAUUGCUCAGCAGGCGAUCAACGCGGCACAUGUGGAGGCUGUGAGAGCUGCGAAUGGCACUGGUCUUGUCAUACUUAUGAGCAGGAGAACGAUCCACAUUAAUCUUAAUGCCACUCUGAGCAGCCGAGAUGUUGACUGCUGCUUGAGAUUGAUUUCUACGUUGAAGGGAAGGGAGACCUAUUUGAGUUCCUGUAUGAAAGGGUAAAGAAGAAGGUGCAUGCUGUCGUGGUUGUUGCUGAAGGCGUUGGUCAGGAGUUGAUUACCCAGACUGAUGACCAGAACCGAGAGCGGGAUGAGUAUUUCAACAUGUUGUUCCUUGACAUUGGCCUUCUUCUAUAAAGUUUACAUGCAACUCU
Molecule: long non-coding RNA, 2555 nt
Organism: Triticum aestivum (bread wheat)
Lineage: Eukaryota; Viridiplantae; Streptophyta; Magnoliopsida; Poales; Poaceae
Exons: 4
Source: RefSeq, a predicted model, not a curated record